UUUCCGGUUGAUCCCGCCGGAGGUCACUGCUAUCGGGGUUCGACUAAGCCAUGCAAGUCGAGAGGGGAAAGCCCUCGGCGAACUGCUCAGUAACACGUGGACAACCUGCCCUAAGGAGGAGGAUAAUCCCGGGAAACUGGGGAUAAUACUCCAUAGUCUAGGGAAGCUGGAAUGCUCCCUAGUCCAAAGCUCCGGCGCCUUAGGAUGGGUCUGCGGCUGAUUAGGUUGUUGUUGGGGUAACGGCCCAACAAGCCAGUAAUCAGUACGGGUUGUGAGAGCAAGAGCCCGGAGAUGGAUUCUGAGACAUGAAUCCAGGCCCUACGGGGCGCAGCAGGCGCGAAAACUUUACAAUGCGGGAAACCGUGAUAAGGGAACCCCGAGUGCCUGUACAUACAGGCUGUUCAGGUGUCCAAAACGCACCUGGAGAAAGGGCCGGGCAAGACCGGUGCCAGCCGCCGCGGUAAUACCGGCGGCUCGAGUGGUGGCCACUAUUACUGGGCUUAAAGCGUUCGUAGCUGGGUUGUUAAGUCUCUUGGGAAAUCCAACGGCUCAACCGUUGGGCGUCUAAGGGAUACUGGCAACCUAGGGACCGGGAGAGGUGAGGGGUACUCCGGGGGUAGGAGUGAAAUCCUGUAAUCCUCGGGGGACCACCGGUGGCGAAGGCGCCUCACCAUAACGGCUCCGACAGUGAGGGACGAAAGCUGGGGGAGCAAACCGGAUUAGAUACCCGGGUAGUCCCAGCUGUAAACGAUGCGCGUUAGGUGUCUCGGUGACCACGAGUUACCGAGGUGCCGAAGGGAAACCGUGAAACGUGCCGCCUGGGAAGUACGGUCGCAAGGCUGAAACUUAAAGGAAUUGGCGGGGGAGCAC
RNAcentral lists this ribosomal RNA (870 nucleotides) under uncultured archaeon. RNAcentral's name for it is "bacterial SSU rRNA". It matches the Rfam family "Archaeal small subunit ribosomal RNA", at positions 1 to 879 of the family's 1478-position model. The record is from RNAcentral.